RNAcentral lists this ribosomal RNA (670 nucleotides) under uncultured Pseudomonadota bacterium. Its description in RNAcentral is "bacterial SSU rRNA". It matches the Rfam family "Bacterial small subunit ribosomal RNA", at positions 35 to 750 of the family's 1533-position model. The record is from RNAcentral. Lineage: Bacteria; Pseudomonadati; Pseudomonadota.
GCUGGCGGCACGCCUAACACAUGCAAGUCGAACGAAGUAGCAAUACUUAGUGGCAGACGGGUGAGUAACAUGUGGGUAUCUGCCCUUUGGCCUGGAAUAACACGAGGAAACUUGUGCUAAUACCGGAUAAGUCUUUACGGAGAAAGCUUUAUGCACCAUUGGAUGAGCCCGCACUUGAUUAGUUUGUUGGUGGGGUAAUGGCCUACCAAGACUGUGAUCAAUAGCUGAUUUGAGAGGAUGAUCAGCCACAUUGGGACUGAGACACGGCCCAAACUCCUACGGGAGGCAGCAGUGGGGAAUCUUGCACAAUGGAGGAAACUCUGAUGCAGCGAUGCCGCGUGAGUGAAGAAGGCCCUUGGGUUGUAAAGCUCUUUCGUCGGGGAAGAAAAUGACUGUACCCGAAUAAGAAGGUCCGGCUAACUUCGUGCCAGCAGCCGCGGUAAUACGAAGGGACCUAGCGUAGUUCGGAAUUACUGGGCUUAAAGAGUUCGUAGGUGGUUGAAAAAGUUAGUGGUGAAAUCCCAGAGCUUAACUCUGGAACUGCCAUUAAAACUUUUCAGCUAGAGUAUGAUAGAGGAAAGCAGAAUUUCUAGUGUAGAGGUGAAAUUCGUAGAUAUUAGAAAGAAUACCAAUUGCGAAGGCAGCUUUCUGGAUCAUUACUGACACUGAG